UUUUNCUCCAAUCGGNCUCCACAACGACGGCUCCACCNAGANGGUUAGGCCACCGGCUUCGGGUGUUACCGACUUUCGUGACGUGACGGGCGGUGUGUACAAAGCCCGGGAACGUAUUCACCGCAGCAUGCUGAUCUGCNAUUACUAGCAACUCCAACUUCAUGGGGUCAANUUGCAAACCCCAAUCCGAACUGANGCCGGCUUUUUGGGAUUCGCUCCGCCUCACGGCAUCGCAGCCCUUUGUACCGACCAUUGUAGCACGUGUGCAGCCCAAGACAUAAGGGGCAUGAUGAUUUGACGUCGUCCCCACCUUCCUCCGANUUGAACCCGGCAGUCUCCUGUGANUCCCCCGACAUUACUCGCUGGCAACACAGAACAAGGGUUGCGCUCGUUUGCGGGACUUAACCCAACAUCUCACGACACGANCUGACGANAACCAUGCACCACCUGUAUACCGACCACAAGGGGGCACCCAUCUCUGGAUGUUUCCCGGGCAUAUGUNNAGCCCUGCUUCUCUUUCCUUUCUUUUUUCCCAUUUUUUUUUUNCCCCCCCCCCCCCGCUUUGUUGCGGGGCCCCCCUUCAAUUCCCUUUGAAAUUUUAAGCCUUUGGGGGGGGUAAU
This 620-nucleotide ribosomal RNA is filed under the name Amazonian soil bacterium P13. RNAcentral's name for it is "partial 16S ribosomal RNA". The record is from RNAcentral.